AGUGAACUGGAUUGGAUUAGCCGCUGGUCUUGUCCUUAAAUAAUACAUCCCAGUCUUCAAACCCUACAAGGAAAGUAAAGACAAUUAUUAGGAGAAACUCUGUAAGAAUACUAGACAUUCCACACCAAUAUUUA
Molecule: non-coding RNA, 134 nt
Filed under: Pan troglodytes (chimpanzee)
Lineage: Eukaryota; Metazoa; Chordata; Mammalia; Primates; Hominidae
Source: RNAcentral